GCCUGCGUGGCUCAACGGUUGGAGCAUCUUCCUUUGUUUGCCAGAACGCUGCGUGGCCUGAGGACGGCGCGGGCUCGACUCCCGCCACGGGCA
Mycena alexandri is the source of this 93-nucleotide non-coding RNA. NCBI's taxonomy places the organism in Eukaryota, Fungi, Basidiomycota, Agaricomycetes, Agaricales, Mycenaceae. The record is from the annotation of a GenBank genome assembly.